GAGCCUGUUCGACGGGUCGGUACGGUGGCUGCAACCCACCGGAUGGGAGUUCGACUCUCCCCGGGCUCUCCA
This 72-nucleotide transfer RNA is filed under the name Myxococcales bacterium. Its description in RNAcentral is "tRNA-OTHER". The record is from RNAcentral. RNAcentral also lists the same sequence under 1 other name. Lineage: Bacteria; Pseudomonadati; Myxococcota; Myxococcia; Myxococcales.